GGAUUUGUCGGUUGGUCGGGCUUCACUGUCCGCACUGGCCUGAUGGAUUCCUACCUUCUGAACAACCAGCAUGCUAUUAAGUUAGUGCGUUGGGGAAGCAGAGCUAUUACCUUGAAAAAAUUAGAGUGCUUAAAGCAAGCUUGUGCUUGAAUAGAUUAGCAUGGAAUAAUAAAAUAGGACGGCAUGGUUCUAUUUUGUUGGUUUCUAGAGUCGCCGUA
This 218-nucleotide ribosomal RNA is filed under the name Campeiostachys nutans. RNAcentral describes it as "Elymus nutans partial small subunit ribosomal RNA". The stretch from base 47 to 218 matches the Rfam family "Eukaryotic small subunit ribosomal RNA", at positions 692 to 864 of the family's 1831-position model. Lineage: Eukaryota; Viridiplantae; Streptophyta; Magnoliopsida; Poales; Poaceae. The record is from RNAcentral.